This 21-nucleotide transfer RNA is filed under the name Corythornis cristatus (Malachite kingfisher). RNAcentral's name for it is "partial tRNA-Arg". Lineage: Eukaryota; Metazoa; Chordata; Aves; Coraciiformes; Alcedinidae. The record is from RNAcentral. RNAcentral also lists the same sequence under 2 other names.
AAAGUUAGUCCAACCAAGACA